UCCGGGUUCUCCCCCACUCAGUCUGACCCAACCCCAGUCUGUCCGACUGCCCCCCAGAUCGCGCCGCUGCUCCUCCACCCCCCAGAUUCGGCUGCUGGCGCUCGAGACGCUCAAGAAGAAGCCGGCGGCGGACAAGGGGGCCAAGCCCGCCGCCAGGGAGGGGGAGCGCAAGCCGGAGGUCUUCUGGCCCCCGUGCCCCUCACCGCGAAGUCCUGGGCCAACGUCGAGGACGACAACGACAAAGACUACUUCGCCACCACCGCGCCGCCGCCCAGGCCCGUCUGGGGAACGACAGCCGCGACGACGCCAAGGACCAGCGCGACGCGCCCGCCCUGGAAGAGGGCCAGCAGCAGGAACUAAGGGUUCAAAGAAGGUUGUCCAACAGUCUCCAAGGGCUCAGGUUCAGUGGAAGAUAUCAUGUUCGAUAGCAUGAAGUAUGAAGAAAAUGGAUCCAAUCAAUGAGGACCUCUUGAUGCUCGAUACAAAUUGUCUAGUAAAGCUAGCGUUUAUCAGACCAAAAGACAGCUAGUGUUUACAGACUUCUGCAAUAAUUGGCAUGUAACAACUAACAACUAUAAACUAUGUUUGACUUUGGUAGAGGCUAAAUGUUCCUGACGAUGCAUUAGUAUAACUUGUCUAUGUUAUGUGUGUAACAUUUGUUUGGCAGAAACUAAGUGAGAUGACAUAUUGACAUGUAAGAACUAUAAACGUGGCUUGCUUGUUUGUGUGUAACUUAUGUUAGCCUUGCUU
This is a long non-coding RNA of Panicum virgatum (switchgrass), 750 nucleotides long. RefSeq lists it as uncharacterized. Lineage: Eukaryota; Viridiplantae; Streptophyta; Magnoliopsida; Poales; Poaceae. The transcript is spliced from 3 exons. The record is from RefSeq and is a predicted model, not a curated record.